This 3980-nucleotide long non-coding RNA is filed under the name Sus scrofa (pig). RNAcentral's name for it is "lncRNA (ENSSSCG00030059990.1)". Lineage: Eukaryota; Metazoa; Chordata; Mammalia; Artiodactyla; Suidae. The record is from RNAcentral.
AGUACAUGAGGUACACUAAUCUAUAUAACUUUUAUACAAAUAAAGUCAUUUAUAUAAUUAUACACACCGUCUACACAUGCCCGCUGCUGUGUGCACACACCUUUCAAAACAGCAUUUCCUACUGGAGCCAAAAGCUGGAUGGAGACAGGGCAGGGGGGCUCUCCGGCAUCUGAUAUUACAUUCUCCCAAGGCGAGUACAUUCGCAUGUGACUGCCNNNNNNNNNNNNNNNNNNNNNNNNNNNNNNNNNNNNNNNNNNNNNNNNNNNNNNNNNNNNNNNNNNNNNNNNNNNNNNNNNNNNNNNNNNNNNNNNNNNNNNNNNNNCUCAGCCCGGGCUGAGGCAGCCACCCCCCUCCCGCUGGCACAGGCAGAGCCUACGCCUGACCCGCAGCGACUCCAUCACGGAGGCAGACGCACAGACUCAGGAAAAAGCAGUCAAAUGAGCAGAAUGACUUCUGUACUCGAAACACCCGACUCGUAGGGAAAACUAACAGAUCAGGAGUCAUUUCUUUGGGGGUAUUGGGAACGGCUUUGGCACAGGGCAGGAAAUUGAGCUGCAGAAUAAAUUCAGGGUCACGGUGAAAGCGCUGGACGGCCCGUGUACCCCAACAGAAAAACGGACCUUGGAAGAGACGGGGUCUGUACACGGACCCAAGGGUACACGGUAUCCAGCUGGGAAAUCGUGCACGCGUGUCAUGAGGUGGGGAACUCUGUCCCCCAGGACCUCCGGACGGGGCUGUAUUUGGAGACCAGGUCCUUUUUUUUGUCUUCUGCCUCGGCAUGUGUGCAGUCACAGCCUUAGUUUUGAUGUGGCCAAUAGGGAUGUUCACUGCAUGUAAAGUACCAGGGCUCCAGGGCAUGCUUCAUUAACCCUUCCAAGGAGUCGAGGUGUUGGGGUUUCUUCUGUUUUUUGGCUGCACCUGCAGAAUGCAGAAGCUCCCAGGCCAGGGACUGAAUCCACGCCACCAGAGCGACCCGAGGCAUUGCAGAGACAACGCCAGAUCCUUAACCAGCCGCACCACUAGGGAACUCCCAAAGUCGUUUGAAUGCUCACUGAAAUAGCCUGAACCAGAUUUUGUGUAACUAUGGCCAUGCUUUGGGUCACAGGCCCUGGAAAAUCUGGCCAAAUCAUUGGAUUUCGCAUGUACCCAUGCUUGACCCAGAGAUGACCUGGGAGAAGGGCUCUUUAAAGAGGGGUCCUGGGAAGAAGAGGUCAGGACAGACACGCACGGAGGGACGGCCCUGUGAGGACACAGCGGGGAGAUGGCCGUCGACUCAUCCAGGAGAGAGAGGCCUUGGGAGGGACCUGCCCUGCCUGGCCCUGGGGCUCAGACUCGAGCCUCCAGAACCGGGAAAUUAAUAUCUGUUUAAAGCCUCGAUCUGCAGUACGUUUAACUCAGCCCAAGCAGACGAAUUAAUACAUCACGGUUUGACAGACACACACCUGUUUUUGGCCGUGCCCAUGGCAUAUGGAAGUUCCUGGGCCAGGGACAGACCCUGAGCCACAGAAGUGACAGUACCAGGUCCUUAACCCACUGAGCCACCAGGACACUCCUCAAGGAAACACUUUUAUAAAUUACAGCAAUCAGAAUGUCUGUAGGUCCCAAUUAGCAAUUUGUGGGAUAGAGCAGCAAAUCUCCUGUUAGGGUCAAUUAAAAAAUGCUAUUUAUGUUUGAAAAAUGGAAUUAUGGAAUUAAACGAAAAAGAAAAAAUAAGGGAGUUUCCUGGUGGCCUUGCCUAGAUUCCACCUUGUCACGCCCGUGGUUCAGGUGCAAUCCCUGGUCUGAGAACUUAUGUAGGCUGGGGGCACAGCCAGUUUAAAAAAAAAAAAAAAAGGCAACACAAGACAUAAUACAUUUGGACAAGAACAUGGCCUGCAAGCAAGACCAUGCGAAGGUCGCAGUUCCCUGAUUCCUAUUUGAAUUGAAAAGCAUUUGUAUCUUUUGGCCCCAAAGUGUCAAUACGAAUACUCGCAGCUGGCACUGUUGCCCACCAAAUGCCACACAGCCCUCAGUGGGUGAGCAGGAGGCAAAGCCAUCUCUGACCGGUAACCAAAAGGGGAGAAUAAGCACCGACUGUGUACCACAGCCACACUGGCACCUGUAACCUACUGUAUACACCAGCCCAGACGCCCCUUCCUGAAACCGUGGGAAUUCCAGCUGAGACAGGCUGGUACCAGGAAGGAUCUGGCUCCUGGAGCAACAGAUACAAAGAAACUCUAAGGGACUAAAAAUAACACUGCUACAAAGUAUAAACAGUAAGAUACAAAAAGACCAAAAUCCAACUAUCACUUCUGAGAUGCUAAGAGUCCAAGCAGGGUCUCCUGCCUGAUCCCUGCACAGGGCUCCGCCAAGGGGGUGGGCAGCCCACCCAGCCACCCCUCCGGCCCCACCCACCCUCACCCCACCUAAGGGAUGGGCCCACCUCCUUGGGAAGCCAGCCAGGGCCCCUGGUACUUGUUCCCUGCUGCAGCCGGAGCCUCAGCGAAGCCUGGCCUGAUUCCCCCCUCUGACCCCAUCCAUUUCUACAGGUUGAAGAAUCCAGGCACCCAGGCCGGUAACAGAGUGACCUGCUUGCCUGCGGGCACAGCUGAAGGCCAGGACCGUUGUCAGCUGCCUCUGUGCAGCUAAAGUUGUCACAAAAUCAUGAAUCAGAAUCUUGAGGAAAAACGCCCAGAAAAUGCUCCUUUCCUUUCCGUGGGCUGUAUUUUAGUAACCAAUUCCUCGUAACAACCUUUUCUUCCUCAGCAGAAACCACAUUAAAUUUACUUGCCAGAAACAGAGUCACACACACAAUUUUCUAAGACUCAUGAGACUGUGAAAUCCCUGCCAUGAGCCCACCGUUACAGAAUGAAAUCAUCUUGCGUUUUCUUAAAUUUUUAUCAGAUGAGAGCUGAUGGACACUGUUGUGCCAAUUUCUGCUGUACGGCAAAGUGACCCAGGCAUACACACAUAUACCUUCUUUUUCUCUUAUCAUCUUCCAUCCUGGUCUAUCCCAAGAGACUGGACAGAGUCCCCUGUGUGGGACAGCAGGACCUCUUUGCUCAUCCAUUCUCAAUGUCCUAGUUGGCAUCUCCUGACCCCACACCUGAAGAGUAAAUUCAGAGAAAUGAAAAAAUGCAGAAAUAAAAACAGUCAAGAAAGAAUAACAACAGUUGUCCAUUCAACAAAGUCAAGUCCCUUUAUUCUUCCUCCAGGAGAAUAUUCUGAGCUGUGUCCUUGAGCUGUUUGCAGGUGCUAAAGCCCCCGCCAGGUGGAAGAAGUGAGCUGUGUGCUGCCCACCACCAGGGAGGCCCCAGACAGGCUGGAGCCAGAAGGUGGAUGACGCUGACUCCCAGUGACCUCACCGCCCACCAGCCCGAAGAGUGUCCCCAAGCUGAUCACACCCCGAGACCCUCCCCCUCGCUCUGUCUUUAACAACCUUCCCCUGAAGGCAAAGUGACCGAGCUAAAAUGUCAUCAUUUCCCCUAAAGCUGAGACUCUAAAUACACAGGAUCCCAUUAUCCCAAUGCUGAAAAUCAACUAUUCUUCACUAAAAUUUAAAAAAUUGAAAAAAGACAUAGGAUUCCAGUCUUUAGAAGACACAUCUUCACAUCCAGACAGUAUUUAGUCUGGAUUCCCCACCUCGCUUUGACAACUGUCCGACUCAUUAAGAAUUCAAAAAUGCUAAGGUCCCGCUGCACAACACAGGGAACUAUAUCCACUUUCCCCGAUAAACCUGAAAAGAAUAUACAUAAGAACACGUAGGCUCUCCCGUCGUGGCUCAGCGGAAAUGAACCUAACUAGUAUCCGUGAGAAUGCGGCUUUGAUCCCUGCCCUCCCUAGUGGGUUAAGGAUCCGACAUUGCCGUGAGCUGUGGUGGAGGUUGCAAAGGCGGCUCAGAACCCCUGUGGCUGCGGCUGCGGUGUAGGCCUGCAGCUGUGGCUCUCAUUCGACCCCUAGCCUGGGAGCCUCCAUAUACCACUGGCAUGGCCCUAAAAGAC